This 400-nucleotide ribosomal RNA is filed under the name uncultured bacterium. RNAcentral's name for it is "bacterial SSU rRNA". It matches the Rfam family "Bacterial small subunit ribosomal RNA", at positions 29 to 419 of the family's 1533-position model. The record is from RNAcentral.
AACGAACGCUGGCGGCGCGCCUAAUACAUGCAAGUCGAGCGAGAAGACGUAGCAAUACGUUUGUAAAGCGGCGAACGGGUGAGGAAUACAUGGGUAACCUACCCUCGAGUGGGGAAUAACUAGCCGAAAGGUUAGCUAAUACCGCGUACGCUCCUUGGACUUCGGUUCAGGGAGGAAAGCGAUACCGUGGGUAUCGCGCUCUUGGAUGGGCUCAUGUCCUAUCAGCUUGUUGGUGAGGUAACGGCUCACCAAGGCUUCGACGGGUAGCUGGUCUGAGAGGACGAUCAGCCACACUGGCACUGCGACACGGGCCAGACUCCUACGGGAGGCAGCAGUAAGGAAUAUUGCGCAAUGGGCGAAAGCCUGACGCAGCGACGCCGCGUGGGGGAGUGAAGGGUAC